GAUGAACGCUGGCGGCGUGCCUAAUACAUGCAAGUCGAGCGAACGGACGAGAAGCUUGCUUCUCUGAUGUUAGCGGCGGACGGGUGAGUAACACGUGGAUAACCUACCUAUAAGACUAGGAUAACUUCGGGAAACCGGAGCUAAUACCGGAUGAUAUUUUGAACCGCAUGGUUCAAAAGUGAAAGACGGUCUUGCUGUCACUUAUAGAUGGAUCCGCGCUGCAUUAGCUAGUUGGUAAGGUAACGGCUUACCAAGGCAACGAUGCAUAGCCGACCUGAGAGGGUGAUCGGCCACAAUGGAACUGAGACACGGUCCAGACUCCUACGGGAGGCAGCAGUAGGGAAUCUUCCGCAAUGGGCGAAAGCCUGACGGAGCAACGCCGCGUGAGUGAUGAAGGUCUUCGGAUCGUAAAACUCUGUUAUUAGGGAAGAACAUAUGUGUAAGUAACUGUGCACAUCUUGACGGUACCUAAUCAGAAAGCCACGGCUAACUACGUG
Molecule: ribosomal RNA, 497 nt
Filed under: uncultured bacterium
Lineage: Bacteria
Description: partial 16S ribosomal RNA
Rfam family: Bacterial small subunit ribosomal RNA
Source: RNAcentral